Molecule: long non-coding RNA, 1601 nt
Filed under: Equus caballus (horse)
Lineage: Eukaryota; Metazoa; Chordata; Mammalia; Perissodactyla; Equidae
Description: lncRNA (ENSECAG00000058017.1)
Source: RNAcentral
AGCUCAGGAAGCUGCUUUUCAAUGACCUGAAGUACAUCUGGCCAAAGUUAGCUUGUAUUCUCCUUGGCAAGGCCUUAUCUCCAAAUACAAUCACAAUGAGGGUUAUGACUUCAAUACAUGAAUUUAGGGUGGACACAAUUCAGUCCAUAACAAUUGCUACUCUAAGAAUUCUCAGAGAAGCAAGAUAUAUCCUGAGGAGGAUCAGGAGAGAGGGAAGAAGGCCAGCAGCACAGCCAUCAUGCCUGCCAGCCCCGUAUCCUGCCUGAACAGGAAGAGGACCACCUGUAGCUCCUCUGCAAACAGCAGCCUCACUACCAGCCCAAAUCAGAGCAGGAAUUCCCCACCUUAGGAGACAGUCAGCCUUGGCUGGGCCUCCAUUCAGAAGGGCAAUGACAACCUAACCAUGUCAGGGUCCAGGACCUCCAGGGCUUCUGCUUCUCCUUCAUUCUCCCUGGCCCUGCCCCAACAGCACCAGGAAUUCAAGAUGGCCCAGUUGUAACCCAACCAUCCCUUUGGGGCUGCACCUCAUGUAGGGUAACUAUAAGAUGCUGCAGCUCAGCACUGUCCCCCAGUGUGUCCCUGUGGCUUCCCCCUUGACCUGCAGCAUGAGCAGCAGUCCUGGGACCCAAGAUUCAAAUUUUCCCCAGAUUAUCCAAAGGAAACUCCAUACAUGCUGGGCAGCUCCAACAGGUGCGGGACCAGUAGAUUUUGCCUACUGUGACCCCAGCCUCUCCCUCUGGCAACAGCCAUGGCCAGCACUGGGCCACUUGAGGCUUCUUUGGAAGCUCUUCAAGUUUAUAUAGAGACGUCUUUGUUUCAUAUUUGCCAGAAGGAACUUGAAUGAACCUGAAAGCAAAGACCAAGUGGAGACAUUGAAACCCGGAGCGGACAAGCCACACACUGCAGUUCACGUGGAGUAUGAAGAUCACAAGCUCCAUGGAGCCCAAUGAGGUGAUGAGAAAAUUUGGCAAGGUGCUUCACACGCACAGCUGUCAGUAUGAACUGAACAAGAAAUGGUGCUGUUGGGGUCGGCCUGCAACCGAGUGGUUAAGUUCACACGCUCUGCUUCGGCUACCCAGGGUUUUGCCAGUUUGGAUCCUGGGCGUGGAUAUGGCACCGCUCAUCAGGCCAUGCUGAGGCAGCAUCCCACAUAGUACAACCACCAGGACCACAACUAGAAUAUUCAACUAUGUACUGCGGGGCUUUUGGGAUAAAAAGAAGAAAGAGAAAAAAAAAAAAGGUUGGCAACAGAUGUUAGCUAAGGUGCCGAUCUGAAAAAAGAAAAAGAAAGAAAUGGUGCUGCUGUGCAUACAGGGCUCCCCAGGGCCAAGGAGAAUUCCUGCAGUGGAAGGUGGAGGUGAGAAAACUCCCCAAAUGGUCUGUCAUUCAUUUAAAUACAUACCCAGCACCUCUGUGGCCCUCAAAAGCAUUGCCUCUAAAAUAACAAAAGAGAUUAAGCUUUAAAAGGUCGCCAAAUUUUUAGGGCAGUGAAACUACUCUGUAUAAUACUAUAAGGGUGGAUACAUGUCACUGAACAUUUGUCAAGACCCAUAGAAUGUACAACACAAGAAUGAAUCUUAUCAUAAACUAGACCUUGGGUG